Long non-coding RNA from Saccostrea echinata, 276 nucleotides. RefSeq lists it as uncharacterized. Lineage: Eukaryota; Metazoa; Mollusca; Bivalvia; Ostreida; Ostreidae. The record is from RefSeq and is a predicted model, not a curated record. The transcript has 3 exons.
AGAGGCAAAAGUAAAGAAAAAGUGAAACAUGAUUAAGUUAUCUGUCAACACACAAACCUUGCUUGCAGCACUGAGUAUAGGUCUCUUUGUAUAUUACGUCAUCAAACGAAUGCGAUAUCGUCUGCCGGCAGGACCUUGGUGUAUACCACUUAUUGGUCAUUAUCAAAUUUACUCUUCUGUUGAAAUGCACAAGAAAGUUGCGGAGUUGUCAAAAGUGUACGGUCCUGUCGUACGCCUCUCUUUUGGUACACAAACUUGGAUUUUCCUGAACUCCAA